AUUUAUAUAGUAUAAUAUGUAUAUAGUGAUUGUGUAGUUUGUAUAUUGUGUAUAUAUCAGCUGUAGUGAUGAAGAAUAAGAUGAAUGAUGAGAUUGUUGUGAUUUUUACUGCAUCUCACACGUCUGCUGCUGAAGUCAUGUUGAAAUGAUGUGAAUGCUGCAGGGCAGAAGAGUGCUGGAGCUGCAGUGUGUUUUCUCUGUGUUUGUGAAUGUGUUGUGUUUGUCUCCUGCAGCUGGUCCCACAGUGAAGCCCUCAGUGUCUCUGCUGCCCCCCUCUUCUCUGCAGAUCUCUGGAGACUCAGCCGCACUGCUCUGUCUGCUCAGCUCUUACUCUCCACAGGGGGCGCUGGUGAGCUGGACACUGGACGGCUCAGAGGUCACCGAGGGGGUUGUGACCAGCGCAGAAAGCGAGCAGGACGGCCGCUACAGCCGCAGUAGUGUCCUGACCCUCAGCAAAGCACGCUGGGAAGAGGGAGAGCUGUACGUCUGCAGAGUAACACAUGAUGGAGCUCCUCAUGAAGCCUCGUUCCACAAGAGUCGCUGUUAGUCGCUCGCAGUGCUGAUGUUUCUCCAGUGAGCGCUGCUCUCUCCUGAAGAUGAGUGUAUCUGAGUGUCCUGUGUCAGGCAGGAUUCACAUGAGUCUAGUGCUGCAGCUGUAGUCAUUUACAACUCAAUACUGAAAGAGAGCUCUAGUGUCAAAGCACUGGCUGAUCUUUCAAUCUGCUGUGUUUGCUGCAACAUUCAAUAAAGCUUCUCAACAAACUC
Non-coding RNA from Carassius auratus (goldfish), 765 nucleotides. Lineage: Eukaryota; Metazoa; Chordata; Actinopteri; Cypriniformes; Cyprinidae. The record is from the annotation of a RefSeq genome assembly.